Molecule: ribosomal RNA, 407 nt
Filed under: uncultured microorganism
Description: bacterial SSU rRNA
Rfam family: Bacterial small subunit ribosomal RNA
Source: RNAcentral
GAGUUUGAUCCUGGCUCAGAUUGAACGCUGGCGGCAUGCCUUACACAUGCAAGUCGAACGGCAGCAUGAUCUAGCUUGCUAGAUUGAUGGCGAGUGGCGAACGGGUGAGUAAUACAUCGGAACGUGCCCUGUAGUGGGGGAUAACUAGUCGAAAGAUUAGCUAAUACCGCAUACGACCUGAGGGUGAAAGUGGGGGACCGCAAGGCCUCAUGCUAUAGGAGCGGCCGAUGUCUGAUUAGCUAGUUGGUGGGGUAAAGGCCCACCAAGGCGACGAUCAGUAGCUGGUCUGAGAGGACGAUCAGCCACACUGGGACUGAGACACGGCCCAGACUCCUACGGGAGGCAGCAGUGGGAAUUUGGACAAUGGGCGAAAGCCUGAUCCAGCAAUGCCGCGUGUGUGAAGAAGG